Podarcis lilfordi (Lilford's wall lizard) is the source of this 11839-nucleotide non-coding RNA. NCBI's taxonomy places the organism in Eukaryota, Metazoa, Chordata, Lepidosauria, Squamata, Lacertidae. The record is from the annotation of a GenBank genome assembly.
AAAUAGGAAGUUCCGACUGGCUGGUCCAGACAUCCCCUUUUAUGUCCACUCUAGGGAUGUUGUACUUGACUGCUCUUGUGUUUCACAUCCCACAUUCCAGAACCUGUUGGUCUCCAGCCACCAUCAGCCCUAGACGCCAUGGCCAGUAGUCAAGGAUGAGAGGAGUUGAAGGCAAGCAAUAUCUGGAGGGCCACAGGCCCUCAGUGAUUUGGCUUCAGGAUAUCUUCUCCUGUAAAAGCCUUUUUUAUGAUUUGCAAAGGUGGCUUUUCUCUGCGCCAUGACAUUGACAGAGGCGUGGUUGGCUGGGAUCUCAGAGUGGACUUUCUCUGUAGCUGAUUUUUGAUUAUGGAACUCCAUAUUUCAAGAGGUGCUCCUGGACUAUCUCCUAACCUUCCGCUAUUUAGUUAAGACAUUUUUCUUACAGCAGACAUUUAACCUGCCAAGUUGUGGAAUUUCAGUGCUUUUUUAUCUGCUGUGUCUUGAGAUUAAUCAUUUGACUGUGCUGCUUUUAACUUGUUUUAAGCUUCCCUGAGCAAUGUGUUUACAUUGAAAGGACAGGGUAUAAAUCCUCUUAAAUAAAUAAUAGUUGUGUGAAUGGCUCCACUUGGAAGGCACAUUGCACUUGAGCUGACACUGGGUGAGAUGAAAUGUGGAGUGAUUUUAAUGCUGGCGUGGCUCAUUCACACAGGCAGCUCAGAUCACCACUUGACUCUUGAUUUGACAAUUAAUUACUGGCUGAUUAUGCAUCUGUAAAUUGCCUUUAAGGCACAUUGGUUUGCAUCCAACUGUGACUCGCAUUCAUGGAAGUCUUUGAUCCAGUGGAGAUUUCCAUGAACAGAAUGGGGAGGGAAUAAUUUUUUGCAAAUUCUCUUACAGCUCUGAUGCCACCUCCCAUGCUGUUCCACUGGGCUCCCCAAUCCACAGAUUUUGAAGCGAUAGAAGAGGGACUCAGUGAAGAUCACCUCUGUCCCCCUCCAUUCAUGGAAGCCUCCAUUGGAUCAAAGAGCUUUCUCUGAAUGGAAAGAAGCACUUGGAUAUGGCUCGUUGAUUUCAAUGGAAUUUAUUUUCAGGUAUGUAUGUUUCAGACUGCAGCUUAAGGCCCAAUAAAAGCUGGCUUUCCAAAGCCUUUAAGGUUUUGAUAUUCUGCUCCCAAACAGGAAUAAAAUGCAUUUAUUUGUCUAAUCAGUUUUACUGACAGUAGGUUUAAAGUUUCAUGGUGUAUAGUCAGGAAUGCAAACAUCGUUAGUCUGAAUUAGAAAAUAAAAAUCAAUUGCUUGUUAAAACUUUGAAUGGUACAACAGCAGAAAAUAAAGUAGGUAUGAUUAGUUCAGGGUUAAAGAGAAACACAAUUUGAAUGUCCAAGAUCCUGUUGUUUUCUAACCCGUUCCACAAAUCUAGGUCCCUGGCUCAUACUCUGAUGAACCAUUUAAAUUUGAAACCUGGAUUGCUGGUGUAAUUCCUGAGUUUUUAUUAAGAUAUGUGGUCUCCACUACACAUCAGUGGCAGCGGGGUUAGAAAGCCCCAACCCAUUAUGACAAAGGCAGGGGAAACUGUGACCCUCAAGUUGCUGCUGAAUUCCCAUCUUCUCUGAUCAUUGCACAUGCUAGUUGAGAGCUGGUGGGAGUUGGAGUCCAAACAAUAUUCUUCUAUUAAACAUAAUCAUUACUGCACUGUUUACUUCCAGGGAUGUGGAGAGGCACUUGUGGAAUUUUCUGCCUCAGGAGCCAAAAAAAUACAACUAGCAUUGGGUGCUCUGCAUCUUGAUUUGUGGGGCAGGAGUUUGCUGUUUUGCCUUUGGCAACAAAAUGUCUUGAACCAGCUCUGAUGCCUAACUAUGCAGAGGAUCAGGCUGUGAGGUUGGAAAGUUACCUUGUUAGUGACCUUCAGCCAAAAACCCAAGAGUUUUCUAUGGGCCAAAGCCCUGCCUUUUGCUGAAGCAGCUGUAAUAUUUCAAAGCACAGUGUCAAUUAAUACAAUAUUUGUCAAAGGAAGAUUUGUUACAAAGACCAUGGAAGCGGGUUCAGGGAGAGAACAUUAAGUCCUGAAAGCAAAUCUCUCCCCACCUUCUGCCCCAUUCAGCCUGGUAUUUGUUCUCAUCACUAGCGUAUUAUUUUCCAUUAGAAGAUUACAGACGACAUAAGAUGGUAAUAAAAGAAACGGAUGCAUUGUUAUGCGUCUGACAGUGAACAUUUAGCUAAAUGGAUUCCUUUAUAUUGUCAGUGUUUUUCUUCAUAUUACAGAAACGGAUGCUUUCAAUUUAAACAGUGGUGUUUCUGUCUACCCUGUUUUUAAGCUGCAGCACUUUCUAAACCUGAAAUAAAUAAAAAUAAAUAAAUAAGGAACACAUACCCACACUCAAUCUCACAGAUACUUCUUUUUCCCACCAUAUGUAUGAAUAUUUUCAAGGAUUGUAUGAAAUGUAUGUUUGUAUGUUCGUAACAUAUAUGUAUUAAUGUUGAAUUAUUUUAAUAAGAUUUUUUUUUUUUAAAAAAAGGAACACAUCACUCUCAGACCAGAAAAAAAGUUGAAGUACGUUAAGUGUAAGAACUACCCCCUGCAUUUCUUUCUGUGUGAUUUAUUGACGGGAGCAGGUACCAGGAGCAGAUUACCAAUAACUCACACGGGUUCAAUGAAGUUAACUCUUCAUUCAAAGAAACAAGACAGCUCAGGAAGCCAGGCCUAGAGAGUACCACAAUUCUUCCCAGGAGAACUUGCCCCUAGGAGGCAGUUGUGAGGACGGAAGGUCCCCAACUUCCCACAGCUCCCUAAGUCUCCUCCUCCCCCAGCUCCUUCCUAAGCAAUCUGAGACUCAUUUAUCAUGUCUGUCUUUGCUCCACCCUCUUCAUACCUCUGUGGGUUCUGGGAGACCAGAGAGGAGAGGAGCUGGUUGCCACAGGACAGGGAGACACCCUGGCUGCCUCUUAGCACCCUCUCUCCUUUCCAGCCUUCUCUUCUACCUCUGGUUCUGGGCUGUUCUUUGCUACAGACUCUUCAUGCUCAUUGAACCCUGUUACCACUUCAAACUUAAAGAGGCUGAGAUCCAUAAACCCAGUUUUUCCAGAGGAUACUUGGGCCCCAGCAUCAUGAACAGUGGAUCAGGGCCUCUGGAGCUUUGAGUCAGGACCUCCAAAGUACCCAUGUCCCUAGGUUGAUCCAGCAAUGCAGAUGAAGGGAGUUGUUUCAGGCUCCAAAAAGGAGUCCUGUCUUUUAAAGGCUUUUCUCAAGGUACAUUCCUGGGAGAGGGGAGGGGAGAGGAGGUCAGCUACCACCUGGAGGAGGGGUAGUGCCACCAUCAUCAGCGGAUGUAGCCUGCUGUAUGGAGGUAUGGGUCACAUGAUUCCUCCACCCCACCCAUCCCUUUCAUGCAGCCCCCAGGAGAUUGCUAAUAAGGUAAUAUGGCCGUUGAGCUGCGAAAGGUUCCCUACCCAGAAAAUUCUGGAAAGAAAGUGAAUACUUUCUGUUGUUGCUUCUUUAAAAAGGCACCAUAAUCCAUGCAUUCAGUAAAGAAACAGUGAAUUAAAAUUGUCCACAACACAGAUUUCCAUUAUGAAGCAAUGGAAGAGUAUCUAGCACAGCAGGACUGUAAUCUUGUCAGCGGCCUCUAGAUACUACUGUAAUUUGUCUAAUAAUAUUAUAUUGUUAUCAAGACUUAGCUUCUUCAGGAAACGGUCUGAAGAACAAAGAGGAUGUUUUGUCUAGUCCACAAAUGUAAACCCAGCACAGUAAUUUGAUAUCUCUUCCUAUCACAAUGUUACCUUCAAUACUGAGCAUUCUCUACAAUAUUAGUAUUAUGGCCGGGUUCAAUUUAUUACUUUGGUUUGUUGCUUAAGGUUUCUUUCACUUACAGGGCCAGUUCUUUAUUUACUUUCGCUUGCCAUUUGAACAAAUUAGAAAAUGACUGCUAAUACUAAUUUGCAGUCAUGCUGUAAAAUACUAAUAAGAAAAGAAUUGUGCACAUUGAACCACCCCAUUUCCCUGCAUUGUGUAACUGUUUGCUUCCCCACUAUUAUUCAACGAAGUCUACAAACAGUAGAUAUGGCUGAAAUGAAAUUGUUUGUUGUGUCCCCUAUGGGUCUGUGUGGGUGCUAAUUCUUUUUCAUUGCAACUUUAUUACUGUGUUGCUCCCCACUUAUCAGGUAAUAAAAUUGGGCUGUGUGCAAUAAUGUGCAAAUGAGCACAUUUAAUUUUUUAUCACUUUCUUUAGGAUUGUCUUAUUGUCACUACUUAAUUGUUUGCCACAAAUUCAGUACAUCAAGCAAUAGCUAUGGGAUGUGAUUCACUAGGAAUUUAUCUUGAGCAAUUUAAACUCAUUUCUUAUGUUUAUGUCAUGAUGUAGCUCCCCCAGUGGGGCUUUUUCAGGUCAGGAAGUGCUGCAUUACAAAAUUCAAAUAAGUGAAAAUUUUGAAGGGCAGCUGUGUUUUGGCUGAGGAAGUAUGAAUUAGGUAGGUUCAAAUUUAAAUGUCAAGCAAAUAAAUCUUUCCUCUUUCCCUACCUCUAGCAGCUGCCAUACCAUAAUACUGAAAAUAAUAUAUUUUCCUACAUAGCCACAUAUGAUUAGGCUAUAAACUUAUUUGUAUGUACUAAUCUGUAUUUAAGAGUUCAAGAACUCACUUGUAAAUUCAAUUUCAAAUAUGAGGAAUGCAGUGUGAUACAUUUGACCCUGAUAAGAACAUGCAUUGAAACAGAAGUGUGUAUAAAGAGUGUUAAUGGAAUAGAUUGUCCCAAGGCAUUAGGAGAAUAAUGUGUUUACUCAUUCAUUAUGCUCUGAAGAAAAAAAAAGCCACCAGUGAUUUGUCGACCUAAUUUUUGGUGGGGGUAUGUGAGCACCUGAUUGUCAGAACACCAAAUAAUUUGGAUGCUUCUCUUCAACAGAUAGCCCAGGUGAAGCUUAAAUAUCUUUUAUAUAUCCCACCAAAGUUGCAGGCUUACCGCAAGUAUGCAGACAAACAGGUUGGAUGGUGUCUUGUACACCUCUUUCCGGCAGCUCCUUCAGCCAAGCUGGUACCAAACGUAUUGCUCUGCUUUCCUUUGGACCACAUUGCCAAGGCCAAAGGGGUGUGUGUGUCUUGUUGUCUGGGCAUCUCAGGACCUCUAUACAUGCUGCCCAGACUUCCACCCCAGGGAGGUCACUUUGGUGCUGCUAAGUCACAGUUUGACUUCACCCCCAGUGGUGCACUCAGUUGUCUUGAGACAGACAGAUGCCAGCAAUGCUGAAUAGGGAUAAUGUAAGCAGUACAGCAGCCUAGUCUGAAUCUGGUCUCCAUUACCAUUAUACUCUUGAGAUUUAAUGAGUCAUCAGAUAUUGUGAUCAGAUGAGAUGAUCAAGGCACUGACAAAAAAAAUGUUCCUUGGAUAUGAACAUGAAUGUGUAGCUUCUGCCAUAUCCAUAACACAUAAACAGUGCAAUCAUAUUCAUGUUUAUCCAGAAUCAUGUACCAUUAUGUUCAAUGGGCUUGCUUACUAGAUAGUGUGUUUAGGAUUGCAGCCAAAGCUCUCUGAAAGCAACAAUCCUAAUAAUUUACUACAGGAAAGCAGAUACAAGAAGGUGAGGAGUCCAACCUCAGUGUGAUGUCAGUGAAGCUCCUGCAUUUAAGUCAUAAAUCAGUUUAACGUCUGUUGAAAUGAAAGGUUGUUACAUAAAGGCAAGGCUCUUGGGAGCAAGAGGGUUUACAAACUGACAGGGCAACAAUUUAUUGUUGUGUUGGCAGACACUGCUAUAACUGUGCUGACAAAGUAAAAGUGCCCAAAGUUAAUAAAAUCAGGAAGGCUCUGCAAAUGUUAUAUUGCUUCUCUAUCAUAUAUAGCUAUAUGAAAGUUCAUGGCAUAAUGUUUUCAUGCAAACACUGAGAACUCCAAGGCUGUAACUUUCUUUUAUCAGCUUCAAGCAUAUGACAGAAAUAAAUGGAAAUCUAGACUGAAGCUUUCUCUUUCACAAUCAAAAUGGAGGAAGAAGUCUCACUGGGUUUAAGACCAAUGAGAACAGAAGAAGUUCCCUGAUGGAUCAGACUAGUGGUCGAUCUGUUCCUGCAUCCUGCUCACGGUGACCAACCUGAUUCCUCUGGGAAGUCCUCAAGAAGGGAUUGCUAGAAAUAGCCCUCUCCACUGAUAUUUCAUCUGGUAUUCAAUGGCAUAUGGAAUCUGAAUUGGAGGUUCCAUGUAACCAUCAUGAGAGUAGUAUCCUCCGUGAAAUAGGUCCCAGUUGUUGUUUGUUGUUGUUGUUUAGUCAUUUAGUCGUGUCCGACUCUUCGUGACCCCAUGGACCAGAGCAUGCCAGGCACUCCUGUCUUCCACUGCCUCCCGCAGUUUGGUCAAACUCAUGCUAGUAGCUUUGAGAACACUAUCAAACCAUCUUGUCCUCUGUCGUCCCCUUCUCCUUGUGCCCUCCAUCUUUCCCAACAUCAGGGUCUUUUCCAGGGAGUCUUCUCUUCUCAUGAGGUGGCCAAAGUAUUGGAGCCUCAGCUUCAUGAUCUGUCCUUCCAGUGAGCACUCAGGGCUGAUUUCCUUGAGAAUGGAUAGGUUUGAUCUUCUUGCAGUCCAUGGGACUCUCAAGAGUCUCCUCCAGCAUCAUAAUUCAAAAGCAUCAAUUCUUCGGCGAUCAGCCUUCUUUAUGGUCCAGCUCUCACUUCCAUACAUCACUACUGGGAAAACCAUGGCUUUUACUAUACGGACCUUUGUUGGCAAGGUGAUGUCUCUGCUUUUUAAGAUGCUGUCUAGGUUUGUCAUUGCUUUUCUCCCAAGAAGCAGGCAUCUUUUAAUUUCGUGACUGUUGUCACCAUCUGCAGUGAUCAUGGAGCCCAAGAAAGUAAAAUCUCUCACUGCCUCUAUUUCUUCCCCUUCUAUUUGCCAGGAGGUGAUGGGACCAGUCUGUACUAUAGCUUUAAAACAGCACUAUCCCACUUUAAACAGCCAUGGCUUCCUAUUGGAUCCUAUUAGCACCCUGAGCCUGACUAUUCUUCACAAAGCAAUGGUUUUCCCUCCUCAGUAGGACUAUGAAAUGUUUCUACAGUAUGUUCCCAUGAAAUAGGUUGCAUUGGACUGUCAAGCAAGUCCAGCUUUGGACCAAGCUUCAGUUUGAAUCCAUUGCUGUCUAUGUUCUUGAGGACCCAAAAGUGACUGUGGAGGAUAAAAAAAAAUCAGAUGGUGAAUAUAAGUGAAACUCGUCAGUUGCUCCAGGUAGUUCCCUGGAUGGGGCAUUGCACUGGAAUAUGGACUCAGGGGUUUCCUUCAGGCAGUGCAGCAGUUUAUUUAUAUAGAUAAUUUCAAAAUAUAACCUGGCAAUUUCCCUUUUAUGAAGCUGGGAGGACAAGUUAAAUGAGGGUCAGACACAGUAGAAUGCAAAAACCGAAGUUGGCUUAUAUGCUGCUCAUCAUUUUUGCCUGGAAAAUGUAUUUAAGAAUACAUUAACUUGGUGGUCCAAGAAAGGAUCAAUAGCAUUAGAGUAUAAAAAGCAGCAAUUCCACCUCCCUGCCCAGUUCCAAAGUAGACCCUGAAAUGUAAUAUUUUUAGUCAUAAAAACAAUGUUUUUAAUAAGCAAACUCCCACUCAGUUCUGUCUUUUGAUAUUAGAAACCAGAUGACUUCAGGAGAAAAAAACCUGCUGUCUCCAUAAAAGUUUACAAGCUAUGGAAAUAUAUUUGGAUUCUAAGCCAAAGCAGUAACAACUGCAAUGAUAAUACUCUACCCAUGGCUGCCCUUGCAAACUGUUACUUCCCUUAACUGAUCAGUGCUGCAGUUAUGGAGUAAUUGGACUGACUUAUUUAAAUUUAUAAAGCAGCAAAGUACAUCCCCAACUAUGUUCCAGGGAUCUUCAGUUGAUUGAAAAUGGCACGUUAUCAAAUGUAAAUGAGUGCUGGAUAUUGAAACAAGAAAUAUCUCUGUAAACCCAACACCAUCUGUUACUGUAUCACCACAAUUUUCUUAAAAAGUUGAGAUCCUUUUCUGAGGACAGGAAACGCAGGAAUGACCAGUAUUGCAUGGAUCUGUUUUGCAUCCUUUCUCAGCAUGUGGUAGCCAUGGUUUUUUAGUCCUUUGAAUUAACUUCUAGCUGCUGAUGCCACAUGUUGAGCCAAUCAUACAAAAAAACAAAACAAAACGUGCAUAUCCUGGUCUUGCCUCAGCAUGCAGAAAGCCAAACAGCAAGAAGUUUUUUCUUGGCUUUAGCAUUCACUUUGCCCCUUCAGCAUCAAACCCUGCUGUUUCAGUGAUUUCCAGUCACUGGUGGCAAACAUGGACUGUAGGUCUGACAUCAGUACCCAGCAAUCUCAGACAGCUCCAUUGGUCAAAAGACCCAUGGCCCCUCUGUUUACCCAGUCUGCAAGCUGCAGUCUUAACUUGUCAGUUAACCGCAUUGCAAAUGUUUCCACAAUGCCCCAGAGGACCUGACAUUGCAUCACUCCGGGGCAUUGUGGGGGGAAUUAAAAUAGCAGGUGGCUAUUUGUUCUGGGGUUUUCCCCAACUCUCUGUGGCAUUUAUAUAUUACCUUUCUUCCAAGAAGCCCAAGGAGGCACACACAGGUCCCUUCCUCCUGUGAGGUAAGUUAGCCUGAGAGGCAUAGACUGGUCUAAUGUCACCAAGAGUCCGGUUUAGCAUUUUUCUUACACAAGACACAACAUGCUGGCAGUUUAACUAGUCGAGGUUUAUUGGCAAUAACAGGCCUUCAGCAAACUGAGCUUCCCACAACUCAUUCCUCACUGUCGGAGUCAGUUGACUCAACUGGCUUCAUGCCCUUCCCAAGGCCAGAUAUACCCCAGGCCCUCCCCCACGUCCUACUGGUCUUCCUUUGCUCUAAUCACUUGCUCUGCCUCCUACUUUUUGGAGACUCAGGUGCAGCCAAUUCCUCCUCCUCAGGAGUAGAAUCCAAUUCCCUCCUACCACCUGCACCCUGCUCCUUCAUCUCUGUGCUGCUGCAAAAACUUACAAGCGAGAGGGGCUUAUCUCACUUUUGUUGUGUGAAAGAAUCAAGUUUCUAUUUUCCUCUGCCUCUUCUUUCCCCUCUGCAGAUUCCUCUCUGCUGGCCAUGUCUCUGACACCCAGUUAGCUUCAUGGGUAAGUGGGGAUUUGAACCCUGACUUCCCUGGUCUUAGUCCAACAAUGUAUAAACUGUCUUCCAGUUGAAAAUGUUGUGGCAGUGUACAAAAAAAAAUGGGGGGGGGGAGGAAAAAAAUGAACAAUUUUUUUAAAAAUAAUAAGAAUAUAUUCAAUGCACCUGAAAAAGAAACAUGAGCAAUAUUGAACUAUGCUACUCUGAAAAAGCCUGAGUAAGAAAUUCUAAAGGAGGUGCCUAAAAGAACAAAAUAUUGGCACUAUCCUAAUCUCCACGCAGAGUGUAUUCCAAUAUUUAUUUUAAAUGCUGGCUCUCAGAUACAUUCUACACACCACAAUUUUUGGAAAUUCAAUUCCUGAUUUGAGGAAAGAAUGACUGGUUACCAAUGUGGCAGAUGCACAAAGAGCCCUGGCCAUGGCCAAUAUUCAAUUGUAAUAUAACACAAAGGUCAACAAUGUGGUGCCCAUGGGAUCCUGUGUGCCUGCCAGUACAUUCUGUGGAAGUUGUGAAAGGUUUCCUACCUUCGUUCUUCUGUUCUGAACUGAGGAGAGACGCGAGUGUGGUUGAUGCAGAUGCCUUUCUCCUCAUUUCAUUGCAGGGCGGUGGAUUUAGAUGGUGGACAUGUCUGCACCAUUUUGUGGUCUCUUUUUACCACUCUUUUAGAUGUGGCAGCACUUUUGUGGGUUAUUCUAUGCCCUCAUGGCAGCCAUUUUGUGACUGGUGCCCACAGUCCUUUUUCAAAAUUCCAAAUACCCACUGGCACCAGCAGGUUGUUGGUUUCUUGUUUAUCGGUAUGACAUUGCUACUGAAAUCAUUCUGGGAGAUCUGCCCCAUAUUGGUUUUCUUUGAGCCUUUAUUUGGAGGUUUGUUUCAAUAGUCUUUAAAAUAUGGUGGCUGACACCCAUGUCUGAUCGCUGUCAAGCAGAAGACCAAUAUGAAUGAGGUGCUUUGUCUCCCUGCUGUGUGUUUCCCCUUAACCCACCUCUGACACACCACUUUCCCCCUCCCCCCUUUCAAGAGGACCACAUUGCAAACUCAUAUUUUCCUUGGCUUUUUAGGUAAUUGUUCUAUAAGGGUAUCAAAUACCAAUCACUUUUGAGAUGUAGACAUUGGUGGUUUGCUCAAGAACACAAAGCAUUCACGACAUCCCAUCUUUGUGUGUGAGGAAAUGCCGUAAGAUUUCUUCAGUUAUAAAUUUGUUAUUACUUGUUUUGACACUUUCCCAUGAGAAUGAGUAAAGAUGAGUUAACUCAGUCAUGAGAGUGUUCUAGCUCUAUGGCUUUAGAAGGUCUAUUAGUUUAGAAAUACUGUAUGAUCUGUUAUUAAAUGUUUUAGGUGAUAUUUAACUGCAUUCCUGUAAUCCGCUGCACCCCCCCCCCAUUUCCAUAGAAACCAUUACCUGCUAUGCAGCCAAGAAACAGGUUUAUUGAACAAGCAGGGCUUACAAUGAGCCAUACAGACUCAGUUCACCAUGCUGUUCCUGUUGCCUUAGUCCAGGCUUCCUCAAACUCGCCCCUCCAGAUGUUUUUGGCCUACAACUCCCAUGAUCCUUAGCUAGCAGUACCAAUGAUCAGGGAUGAUGGGAAUUGUAAUCUCAAAACAUCUGGAGGGCCUAGUUUGAGGAAGCCUGCCUUAGUCCUUCCUUCCCUCAAAGCAUUUAUUCCCCCCCCCCCAGCUUAAAAAAGCUCUCAAGAGUGGUUUACAAAAUCAGUACCAGUAAGUUGCAAGUGACAUGCAUUGAACUUGUAAGGGGGCAGGUGUCUGGGAAAAUUUUUUUGGCAACCCCACCCAUCAUUGCACCCAAGGUGUUUUGACUAUACACAAUUUUGGCUUUGUGCACUAUCCACAGCAUGGAAGUUGACAGUUGCCUGCACUAAGACAGACCCAGCUCUCUGGCUCACAAUCUAAACAGGCAUGACACAUGAGGAGAAGGGAAAGGGAAGGAGGAGGAAAAAAGCAAGCCCAAACGCAAGUUCUUCAGCUUACAAGUUCAGUCCUUGUGUACAAACCAUGCUAAGGUGCCAACUCUUACAGGCUAUUGGGAAAUAUACUUAUUGUUAAACACAUAUGAGCAAGAAGCAACAUAAUCACCAUGAUAUGCCUUAUAUUUAAAUGUUCUCAUGUGAACCAGGACAGAACUGCUGGUUUUGGUGUGCUGAACCAUUUGUCAGACUUUUACUGUCCUGAACUGGAACCAAACUAGAACUCAGUUCCAGCUGGACCUGAACUCAAAUUGAACUAAAUAACUAAUGGUUUUACUCAAUGGCUCAUACCUGCUAAAAAUACUAAAGGCUGGGAUUGCACUCACAUUUACUCAGGAGUAAAUCCCUUUGAAUUUAGUGGGACUUCCUUCAGAAUAAGCUUCAUGACAUAAGUGUUGUAUGAAUAUUUUAAAAAAAGGUUUCCCAUUAGUUUGUGAUACUCUGAUGAUGACAAAAAAUAUAACUGUUGAGGCAACUUUAGCUUUAUAAAACUUAGCAGUUGUAAAGCUGUUUGCUUAGCUUAGGCUUAAAAUAUCAGAAUGACAAAAAACAGAGAAAUGUGGAAGAACGUACACACUCAUGCUGAUCUUAGUAAUCUUAUAUAACUCAUUUUUUUCUUCACAGGCAUGGAUAACAUCUUGAAUCUGCACGUGAUGUUCCCCCCAUGCCUAACCCAAAGGAGAGCUUUUUCUCUCUACAUAGUUGGCACUAAGAUGUUCAUUUCAUAUAAUAUGGGCUUUUGCCCAUGCCAUGGAAGAUAAACAUCGCCUAGGUGUUACUUGAUAAAUUGAUAGUAAAGUCUGGAUGCACCAAUU